UGUGACAAUUUGAAUGAGCUGACAAUGAUUUUUUUUAGCUUGGUCCGAAUUGCUCAUGAUUUUGUAGUUUAUGUUGAAAAAUGGAUUGCUGCUUAUUGAGAACUGGUGUUUGGAUAUGUUUGUGCAAAUGAUAAUGGACAUGGCUUUUGGUGUUAUUGCUUUACUACCAUGGAAUACUAGGUCUUAUGAGUUGCUCAUGAUGUUAUGACAGUUGUGUCACUGUUGUUGUUUGCAACUAGAAUUGAUUCUCUGUUAGUUUUUCUAUUAUGGAAAUUGUUUGAUUGUUGACUGUCAUGAACUGAUGUGUUGUGAAAUUUUGAUGGAUGACUUGCUGCUAUGAGUUAGUUAGUGAUGUUAGGCUCAGUUGAUGUACUGAAACUUGUUGCUUGAUGGACUGUUUUGGCUUUGUUGUGAAUUGUUGAACAUGUCUUCUCUUUUUCAUGAUUGUAAGUGACGAUGGCUUGCUAAUGGACUGUUUUGUGAUGAUAAUUUGUAGGUCCAAAAUGAGCUUAAAGCGGCAUGGCCAAAUGGAAGUAUAUGGAUAAUGGAGACAUUAAGGUAAAGGCUACCAAGUUCCAAGUAAGAUGCUCCUUUUCAUUUUUGUUUCAAGCCAUGUAUUACGAUGCUUAUGUUAGUCAUUAGGGUGUAACAUGGUGCCAUAGUAUUAGGAUUAGCUCAUGUAAAAUGCUUGUAAUGAAAUAUGCUCAUAGGAUGAUUAUGGUUCAUGCUUGUAAAUGAAAAACCUCACUUAUGAUUAUCAUGUAAACAAGCUUAUGUAAUGGAAAAGACUUAUUUAUGAUGAUUAGUUCAAACUGGUGAUUCAAA
This 825-nucleotide long non-coding RNA is filed under the name Lathyrus oleraceus (garden pea). Its description in RNAcentral is "Pisum sativum (pea) long non-coding RNA (PSAT_LNC032910)". The record is from RNAcentral. Lineage: Eukaryota; Viridiplantae; Streptophyta; Magnoliopsida; Fabales; Fabaceae.